UACGAAGGGGGCUAGCGUUGCUCGGAAUCACUGGGCGUAAAGGGUGCGUAGGCGGGUCUUUAAGUCAGGGGUGAAGUCCUGGAGCUCAACUCCAGAACUGCCUUUGAUACUGAAGAUCUUGAGUGCGGGAGAGGUGAGUGGAACUGCGAGUGUAGAGGUGAAAUUCGUAGAUAUUCGCAAGAACACCAGUGGCGAAGGCGGCUCACUGGCCCGGUACUGACGCUGAGGUGCGAAAGCGUGGGGAGCAAACAGG
Molecule: ribosomal RNA, 253 nt
Filed under: uncultured bacterium
Lineage: Bacteria
Description: partial 16S ribosomal RNA
Rfam family: Bacterial small subunit ribosomal RNA
Source: RNAcentral